AGUGAACGCUGGCGGUAGGCCUAACACAUGCAAGUCGAACGGCAGCACAGUAAUAGCUUGCUCUUAUGGGUGGCGAGUGGCGGAUGGGUGAGGAAUACAUCGGAAUCUACUUUUUCGUGGGGGAUAACGUAGGGAAACUUACGCUAAUACCGCAUACGACCUACGGGUGAAAGCAGGGGAUCUUCGGACCUUGCGCGAUCGAAUGAGCCGAUGUCGGAUUAGCUAGUUGGUGGGGUAAAGGCCCACCAAGGCGACGAUCCGUAGCUGGUCUGAGAGGAUGAUCAGCCACACUGGAACUGAGACACGGUCCAGACUCCUACGGGAGGCAGCAGUGGGGAAUAUUGGACAAUGGGCGCAAGCCUGAUCCAGCCAUACCGCGUGGGUGAAGAAGGCCUUCGGGUUGUAAAGCCCUUUUGUUGGGAAAGAAAAGCAGCAGGUUAAUACCCCGCUGUUCUGACGGUACCCAAAGAAUAAGCACCGGCUAACUUCGUG
Molecule: ribosomal RNA, 492 nt
Filed under: uncultured bacterium
Lineage: Bacteria
Description: partial 16S ribosomal RNA
Rfam family: Bacterial small subunit ribosomal RNA
Source: RNAcentral